CCAGACUCCUACGGGAGGCAGCAGUGAGGAAUAUUGGUCAAUGGGCUAAGGCCUGAACCAGCCAAGUCGCGUGAGGGAAGACGGUCCUAUGGAUUGUAAACCUCUUUUGUCGGGGAGCAACGAGGCCACGUGUGGCCGAAGUGAGAGUACCCGAAGAAAAAGCAUCGGCUAACUCCGUGCCAGCAGCCGCGGUAAUACGGAGGAUGCGAGCGUUAUCCGGAUUUAUUGGGUUUAAAGGGUGCGUAGGCGGAAUAUCAAGUCAGCGGUAAAAAUUCGGGGCUCAACCCCGUCGUGCCGUUGAAACUGAUGUUCUUGAGUGGGCGAGAAGUAUGCGGAAUGCGUGGUGUAGCGGUGAAAUGCAUAGAUAUCACGCAGAACUCCGAUUGCGAAGGCAGCAUACCGGCGCGCAACUGACGCUCAUGCACGAAAGCGUGGGUAUCGAACAGGAUUAGAUACCCUUGUA
This 463-nucleotide ribosomal RNA is filed under the name uncultured bacterium. RNAcentral describes it as "bacterial SSU rRNA". It matches the Rfam family "Bacterial small subunit ribosomal RNA", at positions 331 to 792 of the family's 1533-position model. The record is from RNAcentral.